CACAGAAGAGAGGAAGCAGAAGGCCAGUUAGAGCCAUUUCCUCUACUGCUGAGUGGGCUAAUUGGUGUUCUUGACUUGUGUAAGCUGUGGCCUUUAUUGGAAAUGGCUUGUUCUGGCAAAUCCUGUGACUGUCCAAGUUGGAAUUUGGAGGGUUUGGAGGACAGGUAUUUGUGAUUCCACGGCUGAUGGUUCCAGAAUCUUUGAUCUGUGCUUGAUCACACCAGUCUUUCUUGUUGCAUUGCUGUUUCACAUCUUUCUUUUUUGUAGAUUUUUUUAAUAAUAGCACACUAUGUAACUUUAUGUUGUUGCUGUGUUUCAAGCAGUGUGGGAGCAAUCUACGGUUAGUUUUUACAGGCAAACAAUGGAAAAAAAUAUAAUUAAAGAAAUUAUAGAGACUAUGUUGCGGUUUCAAAACACUAGCUUGGCAAACAUACACCAAAAGCGUUAACAUGUGAA
This is a long non-coding RNA of Oreochromis aureus, 456 nucleotides long. RefSeq lists it as uncharacterized. The transcript has 3 exons. NCBI's taxonomy places the organism in Eukaryota, Metazoa, Chordata, Actinopteri, Cichliformes, Cichlidae. The record is from RefSeq and is a predicted model, not a curated record.